AGUAGUUGAUCAUGGCUCAGGACGACGCUGGCGGCGUGCUUAACACAUGCAAGUUGAACGGUGAAGGGAAGCUUGCUUCCCGGAUCAGUGGCGAACGGGUGAGUAACACGUGGGCAAUCUGCCCCAGACUUUGGGAUAACUACUCGAAAGAGUAGCUAAUACCGAAUAUUCAGCCUUGCAGGCAUCUGCGAGGCUGGAAAGUUUCUCGGUCUGGGAUGAGCCCGCGGCCUAUCAGCUAGUUGGUGAGGUAAUGGCUCACCAAGGCGACGACGGGUAGCCGGCCUGAGAGGGCGACCGGCCACACUGGGACUGAGACACGGCCCAGACUCCUACGGGAGGCAGCAGUGGGGAAUAUUGCGCAAUGGGCGAAAGCCUGACGCAGCAACGCCGCGUGCGGGAUGAAGGCCUUCGGGUUGUAAACCGCUUUCAGCAGGGAAGAAGCGAAAGUGACGGUACCUGCAGAAGAAGCACCGGCUAACUACGUG
Molecule: ribosomal RNA, 485 nt
Filed under: uncultured bacterium
Lineage: Bacteria
Description: bacterial SSU rRNA
Rfam family: Bacterial small subunit ribosomal RNA
Source: RNAcentral